UGAAUCCAUGAACAGAGAGAUUAGCACUUUCCUUAAUAAGGACAGAAAAGGUCCUAUAUACUGUUAAAGCAUUGUCAUCCAUUUUGUGACACUAAGGAUGUGCCUAU
This is a small nuclear RNA of Ailuropoda melanoleuca (giant panda), 107 nucleotides long. NCBI's taxonomy places the organism in Eukaryota, Metazoa, Chordata, Mammalia, Carnivora, Ursidae. The record is from Ensembl.